Molecule: long non-coding RNA, 1257 nt
Organism: Vespula vulgaris
Lineage: Eukaryota; Metazoa; Arthropoda; Insecta; Hymenoptera; Vespidae
Exons: 3
Source: RefSeq, a predicted model, not a curated record
GCCUCAGGCUGACCAUAAUUUAAUACCGGCUACUAAUACGUUCCCUCCAUCGUUCUCUUGACCAGAUAAGAGUACCACCCUUCGUUCGUUCUACUUGCGUUCACGGGGUGAGUGCAUCUAUAGUGAUCUCUCGACGUUCGAAGGUAACCACAUUUGCUCGUCUAACUCGAUCGACUAUCAUCUGUCUCACAGCUUAAUGGUAAUUGGAAACGUGAUGGAUCCCAUCAUAAUAUCAGCUUCAGCAUGGUAAAGACUAAAGGUAUAAGGGACAUCUUAAGACCCAAGGGAAAGGUGGAUCUACGUUGUUCUGUUGAGACACUGGGGUUAUGGAAAAAGAGAAACGAAGUGGAAGCAAAGUGGAGCGAGGUACAUUCAUCAUAAGUUAUUAAACAAGGUAACAAAAGGCCACAGUGACUACGAAGGGUGUACGAAAAAAAAAGAAAGAAGAAAGAAGAACGAGAAACGGACGGAAGAAGAUAGAAUCGGCUAACUGGUAGACUUUCUGCGAUGAUAGAUGGCCAGAAGGAUUAAGAUAUUUUUCGACUCUCGACACCCUUUCUCUCCUCGGAAAUGUUAUUCCGGAAUAAAGAAGACGAUAGAUAAGGCACAUUGAAGAGGGAUAUUCGUGUUUUUGGAAUUAAGGGGUGGGUUGGCAAAAGUUGGAGCUCGAACAAGAACGUGCCUUGCUGGCAUACUAUCAUCCUGCCAUAGCACAACACAACCCUCUAUUUUCGAUUCUCUUCACCCUCUACGUCCUACCUAUACUCCUCUUUCUAUCUGCAAUCCUCCGACGCGGCACCUACCCUCUCGUACCUGUAACAUCAAUUAAAAUUCUCGUGGUCGAUGCGCCGCUGUUUCGUGCGAUCGUACGCCGUUUUUAAUUGGAUUAGAGCGAGACGGCUAGAGGGAGAGCACCGGUGGAUGCCAACCGGUGGAUGAAGAGGAAGAGAUAGAGGAGGAAGGAGAAACGAGCUGAGGGUGCGAGAUUACUGAAAGGGGUUCGUUGGAUAUUCGAACGAGAGGGUUGAUAGUAAAAGAGAAAGAGAAAGAGAGAUAGAAAGAUGAUCGUCCCAGGUAAAUAACAGAGACAAACAAGGUUUCAUCUCUUUUUUCAUUGUGAUCUAUGUCAAAAAUUGUGUUAGAUCAAUUUUCGAUAAUAAACAAAGAGUCAACAAUUUUAUAUGAAUUAAAUAAAUAUUAUUUCUAAAUUGAACAAUUUUACUUUGAAAAAGAAAGUAUUUUUUCUGUUUUAAGUAG